CACGUAGGGGACGAGCGUUGUCCGGAUUCAUUGGGCGUAAAGCGCGCGUAGGCGGCUCGGAAAGUCGGUCGUGAAAUGCCGGGGCUCAACCCCGGGACUGCGUCCGAUACUCUCGAGCUGGAGGCAGGUAGGGGAGAUCGGAAUUCCUGGUGUAGCGGUGAAAUGCGCAGAUAUCAGGAGGAACACCGGUGGCGAAAGCGCUCUACUGGACCGCAACUGACACUCAGGGACGAAAGCUAGGGGAGCGAAUGGG
RNAcentral lists this ribosomal RNA (253 nucleotides) under uncultured bacterium. Its description in RNAcentral is "partial 16S ribosomal RNA". It matches the Rfam family "Bacterial small subunit ribosomal RNA", at positions 524 to 776 of the family's 1533-position model. The record is from RNAcentral.